UUGUUCCUGGGAUGUGCGCCAGUGGUUCAAGUCCUCGACCCUAUGCGCGUUACCAGGAGGUGUCCUGGCGAUACUGGUGUGCAAGUCCACCUCUGAGUGGAAAGCCUAAGGUAUUCCGGUAACCUCCACCUUGAACCUAGGGGUUCAAGGGCCCAAACCACAGCGGCAUCUCCGGGACUCUC
Molecule: non-coding RNA, 182 nt
Filed under: Terasakiispira papahanaumokuakeensis
Lineage: Bacteria; Pseudomonadati; Pseudomonadota; Gammaproteobacteria; Oceanospirillales
Description: Halomonadaceae bacterium PH27A 6S / SsrS RNA
Rfam family: 6S / SsrS RNA
About the family: E. coli 6S RNA was the first non coding RNA to be sequenced, but its function was unknown until recently. It consists of 184 nucleotides that fold into an extended hairpin structure with a large single-stranded internal bulge.
Source: Rfam by way of RNAcentral